CUCGUAGGCGGUUUGUCGCGUCUGCUGUGAAAACUGGAGGCUCAACUUCCAGCCUGCAGUGGGUACGGGCAGACUAGAGUGCGGUAGGGGAGAUUGGAAUUCCUGGUGUAGCGGUGGAAUGCGCAGAUAUCAGGAGGAACACCAAUGGCGAAGGCAGAUCUCUGGGCCGUAACUGACGCUGAGGAGCGAAAGCAUGGGGAGCGAACA
RNAcentral lists this ribosomal RNA (207 nucleotides) under uncultured bacterium. RNAcentral describes it as "partial 16S ribosomal RNA". It matches the Rfam family "Bacterial small subunit ribosomal RNA", at positions 568 to 774 of the family's 1533-position model. The record is from RNAcentral.